Molecule: ribosomal RNA, 400 nt
Filed under: Bicosoeca vacillans
Lineage: Eukaryota; Bigyra; Bicosoecida; Bicosoecidae
Description: partial small subunit ribosomal RNA
Rfam family: Eukaryotic small subunit ribosomal RNA
Source: RNAcentral
GCUUGUCUCAAAGAUUAAGCCAUGCAUGUCUAAGUAUAAACAAAUCUAUACUGUGAAACUGCGAAUGGCUCAUUAUAUCAGUUAUAGUUUAUUUGAUGGUUCUUACUACUUGGAUAACCGUAGUAAUUCUAGAGCUAAUACAUGCAUCAACCCCCGACUUUUGAAGGGGUGUAUUUAUUAGAUCCAACCAGCCCGGCUUCGGUCGUGUCCCUGGUGAGUCAUAAUAACUGAGCGAAUCGCAUGGCCUUGCGCCGGCGAUGGUUCAUUCAAGUUUCUGCCCUAUCAGCUUUCGAUGGUAGGGUAUUGGCCUACCAUGGCGUUAACGGGUAACGGAGAAUUAGGGUUCGAUUCCGGAGAGGGAGCCUGAGAAACGGCUACCACAUCCAAGGAAGGCAGCAGG